AGGCGAUGAAGGGCGUGCUAAUCUGCGAUAAGCGUCGGUAAGGUGAUAUGAACCGCUAUACCCGACGAUACCCGAAUGGGGAAACCCAGUGCAAUUCGUUGCACUAUCAUUAACUGAAUCCAUAGGUUAAUGAGGCGAACCGGGGGAACUGAAACAUCUCAGUACCCCGAGGAAAAGAAAUCAACCGAGAUUCCCCCAGUAGCGGCGAGCGAACGGGGAAGAGCCCAGAACCUGAAUCAUCGGUUGCGUUAAUGGAAGCGUCUGGAAAGUCGCGCGAAACAGGGUGAUAGCCCCGUACAUGAAAACGCAGCCGGUGUGAGUUCGAUGAGUAGGGCGGGACACGUGUUAUCCUGUCUGAAGAUGGGGGGACCAUCCUCCAAGGCUAAAUACUCCUGGCUGACCGAUAGUGAACCAGUACCGUGAGGGAAAGGCGAAAAGAACCCCGGCGAGGGGAGUGAAAGAGAACCUGAAACCGUGUACGUACAAGCAGUGGGAGCCUUGAUUUAUCAGGGUGACUGCGUACCUUUUGUAUAAUGGGUCAGCGACUUAUAUUUUGUAGCAAGGUUAACCGAAUAGGGGAGCCGCAGGGAAACCGAGUCUUAACUGGGCGUCAUAGUUGCAA
This 622-nucleotide ribosomal RNA is filed under the name Salmonella enterica subsp. enterica serovar Havana. Its description in RNAcentral is "partial 23S ribosomal RNA". It matches the Rfam family "Bacterial large subunit ribosomal RNA", at positions 44 to 705 of the family's 2925-position model. The record is from RNAcentral. Lineage: Bacteria; Pseudomonadati; Pseudomonadota; Gammaproteobacteria; Enterobacterales; Enterobacteriaceae.